CCUACUCUCUGCGUCCUAGUGACAGUCCUACUUCUGACUUUUAUCGCGGCUGACAGAAUUCGAGGUUGGGAAGCGAAAGAGGGGAGGCCUUAUAAACACGGACUAUUCGUUUAGAAAAGGCCUCUUUUCCCCUGAAAUUUUGAAUGGUUUGCCCUCGCUCGCUCCGCGGUGGUUGCGGACCGCUGGAGCCACCUGGGGGCGUUGGGUGUCGCCGAGCGCGGGGACGGGAAAGUCGUGAUCGCCUCCCGGUCUAACUACCUUGUCAAGUGAAACACAGACUACAAGGCGUGAUUACUCACUUGCUCUAGGUCGCACAACUAGUAAAUGGCCAACGUGGAAUUCGAAUCCCAGUAACCAGACACCUUUGCCUGUGGGUUUAACCAUUACGCUGCACUCGCCUGGUGGGCGCUGGAGCUCCCGAGUAUGAAAUGAGGCUGUGAAAGCCCAGAGUACAAAAGGACAUUUUCCCCCAAGGGCAUCGCAACAUCUGAAUGGAGCCAGAGAAGAAGAGCGAGAAGUUGACCAAGUGAAGUGGGGUAAUAAAGCGCUUUACACUAGUUGUAAAACAAGUAA
Molecule: long non-coding RNA, 573 nt
Organism: Nyctereutes procyonoides (raccoon dog)
Lineage: Eukaryota; Metazoa; Chordata; Mammalia; Carnivora; Canidae
Exons: 2
Source: RefSeq, a predicted model, not a curated record